UCUAAUAUGGCAGAUUAGUGCAUUAGAUUUAAACUCUAAAUAUAAAAUAUAAUUUAUUUUUAUUAGAA
Molecule: transfer RNA, 68 nt
Filed under: Syrista parreyssii
Lineage: Eukaryota; Metazoa; Arthropoda; Insecta; Hymenoptera; Cephidae
Description: tRNA-Leu
Rfam family: tRNA
About the family: Transfer RNA (tRNA) molecules are approximately 80 nucleotides in length. Their secondary structure includes four short double-helical elements and three loops (D, anti-codon, and T loops).
Source: RNAcentral